RNAcentral lists this ribosomal RNA (643 nucleotides) under Helix pomatia (Roman snail). Its description in RNAcentral is "partial 16S ribosomal RNA". The record is from RNAcentral. Lineage: Eukaryota; Metazoa; Mollusca; Gastropoda; Stylommatophora; Helicidae.
UACCUAAACAAAUUUAAAAAGUUAAGCUUUUAAAUAACUAUUAAAGAUAUUAUCCCCUUGUAGUGUAGUUUAAUAGCUAUCUACAUAAUAACUUAAUAUAAAGUAUAAUAGUUUAUAUUUUAUAAUAUGACAUUAACAAUUUUGUUUAAUAUUUGAAAAUGUUAGUAUUAGUAAUAUUAGUAUAUGUGCUAAAGGAACUCGGCAAAAAACCACUCAACUGUUUAUCAAAAACAUAGCUAUAUGAAUUAAUAUAUAGUUAUUUCUGCUCAAUGACUUAAAUAGCCGCAGUACUCUGACUGUGCAAAGGUAGCAUAAUCAGUUGGCUUUUAAUUAGAGUCUGGUAUGAACGAAAAUAUGGGUAGUAACUGUCUUAGCACAUUUUUUCGAACUUAUUAAACAAGUGCAAAUGCUUGUAAUUUAACAAUAGACGAGAAGACCCUAGAAACUUGGACAAGUUUUUGUUGGGGCGACAGAAUUACACUUAACUAAUCUUAUAAUACACGACGCGAUGUUGAAAGAAUAAGUUACUCUAGGGAUAACAGCAUAAUUUUAUUAGUUUGUGACCUCGAUGUUGGACUAGGUACUAUACCCUUAAGGCAAGGAUAUAUUAUGCUCUGUUCGAGCAAAAUUACCUACAUGAUCU